Non-coding RNA from Podarcis lilfordi (Lilford's wall lizard), 71 nucleotides. Lineage: Eukaryota; Metazoa; Chordata; Lepidosauria; Squamata; Lacertidae. The record is from the annotation of a GenBank genome assembly.
GCUGUACUUCAGUGGCAGAGCAUCUGCUUUGCAUGCAGAAGGCCCCAGGGGGUCAAUCCCAGGCAUCUCCA